UACAGAGUUAACAGGAGAUCUGCAGAAGAUCCGAUCCCGAUUACUUGGUUUUAAAAUCAAUGUUGUAAAUUCCCAACUCAUGAACAAAAGCGCAUGAAGCGCAAAGCAUGUGCUUCAGAUUCCUUGUACUGUAUUUACAAUUUUUCACAAUUGCGAAAACAGCAGUCCUGUAAGCAAAAUGAAGGAGCUGGUCCUUGAGUUCAGAAAGCAGAGUGGAGGACACGCCUCUGUCUCUAUCAAUGGUGCCAAGGUGAAGGUGGUCAAAAGCUUCAAGUUCCUAGGAGUAAAUAUCACCAAAAAUCUUUCCUGGUUUAUCUGGGUCGAUACUGCAAUCAAGAAAACACAGCAGUGUCUUUACAUCCUCAGAAGGCCAAGGAAAUUUGCCAUGUCCACAAUGACUCUUACCAAUUUUUAUUGGUGCCUCAUAGAAAGCAUCCUAUCCAGGGGCAUCACAUAUGGCAACAACUCUGCUCAUGUCUGCAAUAAAUUUCGGAGUUGUGAAUGCAGCCCAGUCCAUCAUGCAAAACAGCCUUCCUUCUAUUGACUCAGUCUACAUGUCCUGCUGCCUUGGGAAAGCAGCUAACCUUACCAAAGACCCCUCCCGCCCUGGUUAUACUCUCUCCCAAUCUCUUCCAUCGGGCAGAAGAUACAAAAAAGUUUGAAAACAUAUACCAACAGAUUUAAGAACAGCUCCUUCCCUGCCAUUAUCAGACUUAUGAAUGGACAUCUCAUAUAUUAGAAUUGAUCUUUCUCUGCAUCUUCUCCAUAGCCGUUCUGUUCUAUUACUUGUCUUCUAUUACUAUUACUGAUGUACUUUUGUAAUGUAUGAUCUAUCUGGUCAGCACACAAUUGAUACUUUUCACUGUAUCCUGGUAUGUGACAGUAAUAAAUGAAAUCAACUCAAAAAAUCAAAAUCAAAUUUACUUUAAGUACUAACUACCACAAUUAAUUUUCCUCAACCUCAGUCAUUGGAACCUAGUCAAAAACAGGAUAGUUUGAACAACCUAUGUAGCUGCCAUAACAUCUGGACCUGCAUUUACUAGAAGGACAAAAUCUA
This is a long non-coding RNA of Stegostoma tigrinum, 1057 nucleotides long. RefSeq lists it as uncharacterized. The record is from RefSeq and is a predicted model, not a curated record. The transcript has 3 exons. NCBI's taxonomy places the organism in Eukaryota, Metazoa, Chordata, Chondrichthyes, Orectolobiformes, Stegostomatidae.